AACUGCUGGGGUGCCAUUUAUGGCUGAGAUUAUACCCGUUGAACCUGAUACGGUUAGUACCGUCGAAGGGAAAUGCG
Molecule: non-coding RNA, 77 nt
Filed under: pig gut metagenome
Description: TPP riboswitch (THI element)
Rfam family: TPP riboswitch aptamer (THI element) (bases 7-71)
About the family: Vitamin B(1) in its active form thiamin pyrophosphate (TPP) is an essential coenzyme that is synthesised by coupling of pyrimidine and thiazole moieties in bacteria. The previously detected thiamin-regulatory element, thi box was extended, resulting in a new, highly conserved RNA secondary structure, the THI element, which is widely distributed in eubacteria and also occurs in some archaea. Analysis of operon structures identified a large number of new candidate thiamin-regulated genes, mostly transporters, in various prokaryotic organisms.
Source: RNAcentral